This 324-nucleotide long non-coding RNA is filed under the name Homo sapiens (human). Its description in RNAcentral is "HSALNT0395733". Lineage: Eukaryota; Metazoa; Chordata; Mammalia; Primates; Hominidae. The record is from RNAcentral.
GGGAGGCCGGGAGGGGUCCCUGGGCGGGGAGUUGCUGCGCAUCUGUUGUGUGUGUGCGUCUGUCUGUCUGUUCAGGUCUGUUUUAGGCUGUGUCUGCCUGUCUCUCUGUCUGGGUCUCUUUCAGGCUGCGUCGGUCUGUCUGUCUGGGUCUGUUUCAGGCUGUGUCUGUCUGUCUGUCUGGGUCUGUUUCAGGCUGUGUCUGUCUGUCUGUCCGGGUCUGUUUCAGGCUGUGUCUGUCUGUCUGUCCGGGUCUGUUUCAGGCUGUAUGUGUGUCUGCUCUUUGCUUCUGCUCCUGGCUCUGUGUGUAUUUCCCGGGUCCUGUGG